Molecule: ribosomal RNA, 253 nt
Filed under: uncultured bacterium
Lineage: Bacteria
Description: partial 16S ribosomal RNA
Rfam family: Bacterial small subunit ribosomal RNA
Source: RNAcentral
UACAGAGGGUGCGAGCGUUAAUCGGAAUUACUGGGCGUAAAGCGCGCGUAGGCGGCUUUUCAAGUCGAUUGUGAAAGCCCCUGGCUCAACUGGGGAAGUGCACCCGAAACUGGAUAGCUUGAGUGCGAAAGAGGGUCGCGGAAUUCCCGGUGUAGAGGUGAAAUUCGUAGAUAUCGGGAGGAACACCGGUGGCGAAGGCGGCGACCUGGGUCGACACUGACGCUGAGGCGCGAAAGCGUGGGGAGCAAACAGG